AUGACUAUCCAGAGUUGGGACCAGGAAGCAGAGUUGCAGUCUUACACGCCUCUCUGCAGCUUCUCUCCUCCUGCUACCCCCCAAAAACCCAUCUCCACUGAGACUGUGUCAGCUCCCAAACAGACAAAAAACAAACUAAAAACCAGCAACAAACAACUUAAACAUAAAAAAACCUCUGUCAGUGCGCCCCAGGCCAGCUGUGGCUACAAUGUAGCUUGCCACCACCAGUGUGUGAAUGUGUGGAUGACUGAAUGCAGUGUAAAGUGCUUUGGGGUCCUCCUAUACAAAUACAGGCCAUUUACCAUUUACCAUUUUAACAUCCAUGUAGAUGCUAAAAAUGACAGCCUCAACAUGGCAUUUAAUCUGUUAUUAGACUCAAGUGGCUUCUGUCAAAAUGUAAAAGAACCCACCCACCACUUUAAUCACACUCUAGAUCUUGUUUUAACAUAUGGCAUAGAAACUGAACAUUUAACAGUGUUUCCUGAAAACCCUCUGCUGUCUGAUCAUUUCCUGAUAACAUUUACAUUUACAAUAAUUGAUUACACAGCAGUGGAGAGUAGACUUUAUCAAAGUAGAUGUCUUUCUGAAAGUGCUGUAACUAAGUUUGAGAAUAUAAUCCACCCACUGUUAUCAUCUUCAAUGCCCUGUACCAACAUAGAGCAGAGCAGCUAUCUGAACGCUACUCCAACAGAGGUCGAUCAUCUUGUUAAUAAUUUUACCUCCUCACUACGUACGACUCUGGAUACUGUAGCUACUGUGAAAACUAAGGUCUCAAAUCAGAAGUACCUGACUCCGUGGUAUAAUUCUCAAACGCGUAGCCUAAAGCAGAUAACUCGUAAGCUGGGGAGGAAAUGGCGUGUCACAAAUUUAGAGGAUCAUCAUUUAGCCUGGAGAAAUAGUUUGCUGCUUUAUAAGAAAGCCCUCCGCAAAGCCAGAACAUCUUACUAUUCGUCACUGAUUGAAGAAAAUAAGAACAACCCCAGGUUUCUCUUCAGCACUGUAGCCAGGCUGACAAACAGUCAGAGCUCUAUCGAGCUAACUAGUAAUGACUUCAUAAACUUCUUCACACAUAAAAUUUUAAUCAUUAGAGAAAAAAUUACCAAUAAUCAUCCCACAGAGACGCAUGGAGAUCAGGGGCAGUACCCCUGGACUGGCAGACCGGGGUGGUGGUCUCUAUCUUUAAGAAGGGGGACCGGAGGGUGUGUUCCAACUACAGGGGGAUCACACUCCUCAGCCUCCCUGGAAAGUCUAUGCCAGGGUGUUGGAAAGGAGAGUUCGUCCAACCAGUCUACAUGUGUUUUGUGGACUUGGAGAAGGCAUUCAACCGUGUCCCUUGGGGUGUCCUGCACUCAAAAAAAUGAAUGA
This 1365-nucleotide long non-coding RNA is filed under the name Oreochromis niloticus (Nile tilapia). Its description in RNAcentral is "lncRNA (ENSONIG00000034112.1)". Lineage: Eukaryota; Metazoa; Chordata; Actinopteri; Cichliformes; Cichlidae. The record is from RNAcentral.